UGGCCCUACGGGAGGCAGCAGUCGGGAAUAUUGCGCAAUGGAGGAAACUCUGACGCAGUGACGCCGCGUAUAGGAAGAAGGUUUUCGGAUUGUAAACUAUUGUCGUUAGGGAAGAUAAAAGACUGUACCUAAGGAGGAAGCCCCGGCUAACUAUGUGCCAGCAGCCGCGGUAAUACAUAGGGGGCAAGCGUUAUCCGGAAUUACUGGGUGUAAAGGGAGCGUAGACGGCUGUGCAAGUCUGGAGUGAAAGGCGGGGGCCCAACCCCCGGACUGCUCUGGAAACUGUAUGGCUGGAGUGCAGGAGG
RNAcentral lists this ribosomal RNA (305 nucleotides) under uncultured bacterium. RNAcentral describes it as "bacterial SSU rRNA". It matches the Rfam family "Bacterial small subunit ribosomal RNA", at positions 333 to 655 of the family's 1533-position model. The record is from RNAcentral.